Molecule: ribosomal RNA, 241 nt
Filed under: Frankia sp. CmsC3
Lineage: Bacteria; Bacillati; Actinomycetota; Actinomycetes; Frankiales; Frankiaceae
Description: partial 23S ribosomal RNA
Source: RNAcentral
GGUUGAUAUUCCCGUACCGGCGCUGACGCGCCCAUGCUGAACCUGGUUGUGCUAACCAUCUGAUCGGAUGUGUCUCUUCGGAGGUGUGUCUGGGAGGUUGGGAUCCUGGCUGGUAGUAGGCAAGCGAUGGGGUGACGCAGGAGGGUAGUCCAACCCAGGCGGUGGUUGUCCUGGGGCAAGGGUGUAGGACGGAGCGUAGGUAAAUCCGCGUUUCCAUGUGUCUGAGACCUGAUGCCGAGCC